Molecule: ribosomal RNA, 203 nt
Filed under: uncultured Lactobacillus sp.
Lineage: Bacteria; Bacillati; Bacillota; Bacilli; Lactobacillales; Lactobacillaceae
Description: partial 16S ribosomal RNA
Rfam family: Bacterial small subunit ribosomal RNA
Source: RNAcentral
GAUGCUAAUACCGGAUAACAACAGAUGAUGCCUAUCAACUGUUUAAAAGAUGGUUCUGCUAUCACUCUUGGAUGGACCUGCGGUGCAUUAGCUAGUUGGUAGGGUAACGGCCUACCAAGGCGAUGAUGCAUAGCCGAGCUGAGAGACUGAUCGGCCACAUUGGGACUGAGACACGGCCCAAACUCCUACGGGAGGCAGCAGCA